This 263-nucleotide long non-coding RNA is filed under the name Mytilus galloprovincialis (Mediterranean mussel). Lineage: Eukaryota; Metazoa; Mollusca; Bivalvia; Mytilida; Mytilidae. The record is from RNAcentral.
CAAAGAGGUUUGAUGUUCACUGUUUAAACUUAGGUUAUAUCGUCUAAUGAAUCCGACUGUAUGAUAUUGUAUGUACAUCUUUAAAGAGUUUGAGGUCACUGUUUAAACUUAGGUUAUAUCGUCUAAUGAAUCCGACUGUAUGAUAUGUAUGUACAUCUUUAAAGAGGUUUGAGGUUCACUGUUUAAACUUAGGUUAUAUCGUCUAAUGAAUCCGACUGUAUGAUAUUGUAUGUACAUCUUUAAAGAGGUUUUGAUGUCACUGU